This 1503-nucleotide ribosomal RNA is filed under the name Salmonella enterica subsp. enterica serovar Infantis. RNAcentral describes it as "bacterial SSU rRNA". It matches the Rfam family "Bacterial small subunit ribosomal RNA". The record is from RNAcentral. Lineage: Bacteria; Pseudomonadati; Pseudomonadota; Gammaproteobacteria; Enterobacterales; Enterobacteriaceae.
AGAGUUUGAUCCUGGCUCAGAUUGAACGCUGGCGGCAGGCCUAACACAUGCAAGUCGAACGGUAACAGGAAGCAGCUUGCUGCUUCGCUGACGAGUGGCGGACGGGUGAGUAAUGUCUGGGAAACUGCCUGAUGGAGGGGGAUAACUACUGGAAACGGUGGCUAAUACCGCAUAACGUCGCAAGACCAAAGAGGGGGACCUUCGGGUCUCUUGCCAUCAGAUGUGCCCAGAUGGGAUUAGCUUGCUGGUGAGGUAACGGCUCACCAAGGCGACGAUCCCUAGCUGGUCUGAGAGGAUGACCAGCCACACUGGAACUGAGACACGGUCCAGACUCCUACGGGAGGCAGCAGUGGGGAAUAUUGCACAAUGGGCGCAAGCCUGAUGCAGCCAUGCCGCGUGUAUGAAGAAGGCCUUCGGGUUGUAAAGUACUUUCAGCGGGGAGGAAGGUGUUGUGGUUAAUAACCGCAGCAAUUGACGUUACCCGCAGAAGAAGCACCGGCUAACUCCGUGCCAGCAGCCGCGGUAAUACGGAGGGUGCAAGCGUUAAUCGGAAUUACUGGGCGUAAAGCGCACGCAGGCGGUCUGUCAAGUCGGAUGUGAAAUCCCCGGGCUCAACCUGGGAACUGCAUUCGAAACUGGCAGGCUUGAGUCUUGUAGAGGGGGGUAGAAUUCCAGGUGUAGCGGUGAAAUGCGUAGAGAUCUGGAGGAAUACCGGUGGCGAAGGCGGCCCCCUGGACAAAGACUGACGCUCAGGUGCGAAAGCGUGGGGAGCAAACAGGAUUAGAUACCCAGGUAGUCCACGCCGUAAACGAUGUCUACUUGGAGGUUGUGCCCUUGAGGCGUGGCUUCCGGAGCUAACGCGUUAAGUAGACCGCCUGGGGAGUACGGCCGCAAGGUUAAAACUCAAAUGAAUUGACGGGGGCCCGCAUAAGCGGUGGAGCAUGUGGUUUAAUUCGAUGCAACGCGAAGAACCUUACCUGGUCUUGACAUCCACAGAAGAAUCCAGAGAUGGAUUUGUGCCUUCGGGAACUGUGAGACAGGUGCUGCAUGGCUGUCGUCAGCUCGUGUUGUGAAAUGUUGGGUUAAGUCCCGCAACGAGCGCAACCCUUAUCCUUUGUUGCCAGCGGUCCGGCCGGGAACUCAAAGGAGACUGCCAGUGAUAAACUGGAGGAAGGUGGGGAUGACGUCAGGUCAUCAUGGCCCUUACGACCAGGGCUACACACGUGCUACAAUGGCGCAUACAAAGAGAAGCGACCUCGCGAGAGCAAGCGGACCUCAUAAAGUGCGUCGUAGUCCGGAUUGGAGUCUGCAACUCGACUCCAUGAAGUCGGAAUCGCUAGUAAUCGUGGAUCAGAAUGCCACGGUGAAUACGUUCCCGGGCCUUGUACACACCGCCCGUCACACCAUGGGAGUGGGUUGCAAAAGAAGUAGGUAGCUUAACCUUCGGGAGGGCGCUUACCACUUUGUGAUUCAUGACUGGGGUGAAGUCGUAACAAGGUAGCC